RNAcentral lists this ribosomal RNA (482 nucleotides) under uncultured bacterium. Its description in RNAcentral is "partial 16S ribosomal RNA". It matches the Rfam family "Bacterial small subunit ribosomal RNA", at positions 30 to 506 of the family's 1533-position model. The record is from RNAcentral.
AUUGAACGCUGGCGGCAGGCCUAACACAUGCAGGUCGAGCGGAUGAAGGGAGCUUGCUCCUGGAUUCAGCGGCGGACGGGUGAGUAAUGCCCGGAAUCUGCCUGGUAGUGGGGGAUAACGUUCGGAAACGGGCGCUAAUACCGCAUACGUCCUGAGGGAGGAAGUGGGGGAUUUUCGGACCUCACGCUAUCAGGUUAGCCUAGGUCGGAUUAGCUAGUUGGUGGGGUAAAGGCCUACCAAGGCGACGAUCCGUAACUGGUCUGAGAGGAUGAUCAGUCACACUGGAACUGAGACACGGUCCAGACUCCUACGGGAGGCAGCAGUGGGGAAUAUUGGACAAUGGGCGAAAGCCUGAUCCAGCCAUGCCGCGUGUGUGAAGAAGGUCUUCGGAUUGUAAAGCACUUUAAGUUGGGAGGAAGGGCAGUAAGUUAAUACCUUGCUGUUUUGACGUUACCAACAGAAUAAGCACCGGCUAACUUCGU